CUAGGAAUUAUGCGCAAUGGACGAAAGUCUGACGCUGCGACGUCGCGUGGAGGAUGAAGAUCUUAGGAUUGUAAACUCCUUUUAUCUACGAACAAGUUCUGAGUGUAGUAGAUGAAUAAGUGCCUGCUAACCACGUGCCAGAAGCAUCGGUAAUACGUGGGGCACAAGCGUUAUCCGGAUUUACUGGGCGUAAAGAGAUGCGUAGGUGACUUGGCAAGUUCUAUGUUAAAGCCCAAUGCUUACCAUUGGAAUCGCGUAGAAAACUAUCAAGAUUGAGCUAGGUAGGGAAAGGGGGAAUUCCUGGUGGAGCGGUUAAAUGCGUUGAUAUCAGGAGGAACACCAAUAGCGAAGGCACCCUUUUGGACCUAUGCUGACACUAAGGCUCGAAAGCGUGGGGAGC
RNAcentral lists this ribosomal RNA (400 nucleotides) under uncultured bacterium. RNAcentral describes it as "bacterial SSU rRNA". It matches the Rfam family "Bacterial small subunit ribosomal RNA", at positions 355 to 769 of the family's 1533-position model. The record is from RNAcentral.